This 483-nucleotide ribosomal RNA is filed under the name uncultured bacterium. Its description in RNAcentral is "SSU rRNA". It matches the Rfam family "Bacterial small subunit ribosomal RNA", at positions 26 to 518 of the family's 1533-position model. The record is from RNAcentral.
AGGACGAACGCUGGCGGCGUGCCUCAUACAUGCAAGUGGAGCGACGAACCAGGAUUUAUCCUGGGGCAAAGCCGCGAACGGGUGAGUAACACGUGGGUUACCUGCCCCGAUGAUUGGGACAACCCGAGGAAACUCGGGCUAAUACCAAAUGUGUUCUUGAUCGUGAUGACCAAGAAGAAAGGAAGCCUCGGCCUCCGCAUCGGGAUGGGCCCGCGGCCCAUUAGCUAGUUGGUGGGGUAAUGGCCUACCAAGGCGACGAUGGGUAGCUGGUCUGAGAGGACGAUCAGCCACACUGGGACUGAGACACGGCCCAGACUCCUACGGGAGGCAGCAGUUAGGAAUUUUCCGCAAUGGGCGAAAGCCUGACGGAGCAACGCCGCGUGAGUGAUGAAGACCUUCGGGUUGUAAAGCUCUGUCGGAGGGGAAGAACACAAUGACGGUACCCUCCAAGAAAGCCCCGGCUAACUACGUGCCAGCAGCCGC